This 448-nucleotide ribosomal RNA is filed under the name uncultured bacterium. Its description in RNAcentral is "bacterial SSU rRNA". It matches the Rfam family "Bacterial small subunit ribosomal RNA", at positions 329 to 793 of the family's 1533-position model. The record is from RNAcentral.
UUCCAGACUCCUACGGGAGGCAGCAGUGGGGAAUAUUGCACAAUGGGGGAAACCCUGAUGCAGCAACGCCGCGUGGAGGAAGACGGUUUUCGGAUUGUAAACUUCUGUUCUUAGUGAAGAAUAAUGACGGUAGCUAAGGAGCAAGCCACGGCUAACUACGUGCCAGCAGCCGCGGUAAUACGUAGGUGGCAAGCGUUGUCCGGAAUUACUGGGUGUAAAGGGAGCGCAGGCGGGAAGCCAAGUCAGCUGUGAAAACUACGGGCUUAACUUGUAGACUGCAGUUGAAACUGGUUUUCUUGAGUGAAGUAGAGGUUGGCGGAAUUCCGAGUGUAGCGGUGAAAUGCGUAGAUAUUAGGAGGAACACCAGUGGCGAAGGCGUCUUACUGGACCGAAACUGACGUUGAGGCUCGAAAGCGUGGGGAGCAAACAGGAUUAGAUACCCUCGUAC